AAACCCUAUCGGCCAUUGGGGGGGCGUGGCCAGUGCAGAGUGGGCGUGGCCUCUGUCUCCCAUUGACUGCAGCAGGAGGGCGUGGUCGAGCCAAGCCACGCCCACACAGACAGAAAAAGCCGUGCUUCCAUUGGUUCCCAUCACAGGGGAGGGGGGCGGGGCUUUGCGGUGUGGGCGUGGCUUCAGCUCCUCAUAGCUCAUAUGGGGGGCGUGGCCAUGACAGAGUGGGCGUGGCUUGGGCGAUGUGGGCGUGGCUUUCAUAGGGGUGAACAGGGCCAUGUCCGUGUGGGCGUGGCUUUAACACGAGUGGGCGUGGCCUGGGCUAUUGUGGGCGUGGCUUGGGAAUCGUGGGCGUGGCUUGUGACCGCGUGGGCGUGGCCUUGGCUUUUGUGGGCGUGGUUUUACCGGGGGUUGGGCGUGGCCUGGACGGGGUGGGCGUGGCUUAAACCCUCGGCAGGAGGGAGCGCUGACAACGCAGCAGUUUUUUGGGUGCCCCCCGGCGUCGGAACCACAGCAGGGCCGCCAGCAGCCCCCCGGCCCCACCCAGCAACGCGAGGGGCGUGGCUACGGCUCCAGGCCCCGCCCCCUCCCCGCCCACUUCGAUCACGAUCACUUCCGUUUCCCCUCCCCCUCCCCCGGUUUCCGGUGGGGAUGAAGAAGGGGCGGGGCCUGGGCGGGGUGGUGGGCGGGGCUCCGGGCAGCCCAACCAAUCGCGGAGCAGGGAUUUGGGGUAACCCGGGGUGACGCGAAGCUGGCGGUUGUCGAACUGCCAAUAGCGGGAGCCCUUCACAAAGUACGUGUAGGCUGAGGGUCAUUAGGGGUCAUUAGGGGUCAUUGGGGUCACGAGGGGUCAUUUGG
Molecule: long non-coding RNA, 858 nt
Filed under: Phasianus colchicus (ring-necked pheasant)
Lineage: Eukaryota; Metazoa; Chordata; Aves; Galliformes; Phasianidae
Description: lncRNA (ENSPCLG00000017320.1)
Source: RNAcentral